UGUAGCUCAGUGGAUAGAGCACAAGCCUCCGGAGCUUGGGGCCACAGGUUCAAAUCCUGUCAGGCGCGCCA
Molecule: transfer RNA, 71 nt
Filed under: Nitrospirota bacterium
Lineage: Bacteria; Pseudomonadati; Nitrospirota
Description: Nitrospirae bacterium tRNA-Arg
Rfam family: tRNA
About the family: Transfer RNA (tRNA) molecules are approximately 80 nucleotides in length. Their secondary structure includes four short double-helical elements and three loops (D, anti-codon, and T loops).
Source: RNAcentral